GAGGGAGAUCGUGUGUCAGCCGUCUCGCGCCGCCACGAAAACACGACAGUCGUUCGUCAUGCCUUGGAUAUAACAACAAAUCCUCCACGGCACCCGCUUUAUAUAACGCAAGAAGGCAGCUGCAAGGACACGAGGAUGUGAAAGAGCCAGUGCAGCGCGACUUCACGUAGUGCAGAGGAGCCAAUGCCAAAAAAUCAAAAUACAUUGGCCUGUUAUUUGGACAAGAAAACUAGUAUGUGGGUAUAUUGGGUGUACCAUUUGACCAAAUGUCAACAAAAUCAAGAUACAGUAUGUUACACGAAGAUGAAAAUUCUCACGUGCUCCAGGCAGUCAUGUUAACAUGGUAUAUUUAUGUAAUGUCUCUGAUUGGAAAGUCAAAUCAAGUAUGCUCUCUGGAGACAAACACAUAGCAGCAAGUGUCAUUGAAAAGUUAAAAAUGUGUUUUAAGAAAGCUGAUUAGUUCUGAGAAGUGACUGCUUUUUGUCUUGCCUCUCAACAGAUAUAUCCAUGUGAUAAAAAAAUAGUGGUACAAUGAAAUUGCAUAUUUGCUUAGCGACAUGAUACAUACUUGCAAUGAGCACGGUGCCUGUGUUUACUAUAAAAAGCAACAGCCCAUGCUUGGUUAGGUUAGGCCCACUACAACAUGCAGGCAUGGGUGAUUGGCGCUUUUUUUAUUUCUGUGUCGUGAGGUUUAUUGACGUGCGUAUAGGUGCAGUGGCACGCAGUAUGGCUAGUACAAAAAAAGGGGGGGGGGGGCAGAUAUAUGUAGCUCACUGUACACGACACAGGGCAAAGGAAAUCCGUGUUCAGCAACUAUGUUAAAUGCCAUGUACGUAAAUUUUACAACGCUACUCGUUCAAAGCGCGCACAGGUGCAUAUUGAAGAAAAGUUUCCAGGGUAGAUAAUUUAGUUCGUAAUUUACACUAAUUUUGCUCUAACCACGAGACAUAAUAAUUUGAAUAUACUGCACGGAAAAACCUAGAGCGAAUUAAAUUGUGUGUCAGCUUCGUGUGUAUACAUAUAGUCUUUCCUAUGCAUUAGGUUUUUUGCGUAAUGCAUUAACAGUUGACAGCCUAUCUUAUGAUGUGUACUCUGUUUACAUUACAGUUGUUUAUUAGUUUACUCGUUUGUUUUGCGACUGAUGAAAUGCCGGCAUAUAUAUAUUUUCAACAUUUGACAUAACCCUGUAUGUGUUGCAGGGACAACCCAGGACGUGCAUUUCUCAGCACCCAGUCAACUGCCAAAAGUGACUCAAACACAGGCCACCAGUGGAACUCGGCUGUACCACUGCAGUGCUGCGGAAAUUGCCUUCACCAGCGGCUUUGCAACAGCUGUUUCGCAGCAUGUCGGAGACAAUGCCUACGAAAUUAUUGGCCCUGAUCACGAGAACCCUCAAGGGGCAAACAACAUCUCUGUUGCAGAAGUGAGCCCGAUACCACUUGGAAGUUACCAUGACAGAUGACACGGCAGCAAUAGAUACAGAGACUGCCAUGUCUACUGCAGCUGCAACAGUGUACGAGGCAAGCAGCAGCGCGUCAGCAUCAGCAGCAGUGUCAGAAGGAACCACACUAGGCCUGGUAGAGCAACAUCUGUGCUAUCACUGGCUUUUUUUGUAGUGGAUACAACUCAUUUGCUCAACAUACAAAAGCUUUUCACCACGACUGUGAGCCAGUGUUAUUGUGCAGCAAGUGCAAGACUAAGUUAGGUGUUAUAACACAGUACAAGCAUCACUUUAAUAUAUGCAAAUGCAAACAUAUUACAGUUGUUGCCUCCCCAGCCAGCCCACAUAGUGACAACAAUGUGGAACACAUGGUGGGACACACCUCUCCCCCAUUACAAGAUAGUAGAGACUGUCAGUGUUGUUGCUAGAUUGACUGGUCUUUGUAGGCAACUAGAAGGACAACACAGGUGUCAUAAGAUUGUUGUUGAUGUUGUUGUUGAAGAGGUAAAAAAGAAGUUUGAUGCAGCUGAAGUGCCAACUGAUAUUGAGCAAAUCAAAAGCAACCACCUGAGAAAGCAACACUAUCGAAAUUUGGGUAUCUAUGUGCCGCCAACUCUGGUGAGAAUGGCAUAGGACAGAAGUGUGAUGAAAAUCACACAGACACUGCUGUUGCAUCACUGGCCACAGUGAGCAGCGACUUGUAGGGCAAGAGAGUCAACUGAAACUAACAUUAUGAUAUAGUGUCAUGCUCCCAUGUGACCACUUUUCAAGUUAUUUUGCAAGAUACAGCUCAACCUCCAGAAACGAGACUGCAACUUGUCUGUAAAAAAGCUUUCACAAAAAAUUAUUCAUAACACUAUUAACAUAGCAGUAUCUUUUUUUUGUGUCGGUUCGAGGUUCCCGGCUGUCCAUUAAUGCAAAAAUUCAGGAAAAAAAGAACAUGUGUCGUACUUACACCUUUUUAACAAGUACGAGGGGGACAUAACUUUUCUAGUCAUGCAUCUUCAUCAUACUAUCAAGUUUUUAAAUGCCUUUUAUAAUUAUUAUUACCAGUUAUAUCUGAGUGCAUUGUAUGCAUGUAGCAGGUGUACAAUCAGGUCAGUUGGAUCAGAUGCCUUAUCUGCAAGCGAGCCCUAUAUUCAAGAAAUUUGAAUUAAAAUAGUUACGUUAGAGACGCAGUCUUUCAGCACUUUAUUGCCUGUGGUUUAAGCAUUGCUCAAUACUUUUGUGGGUGGCGAUUUCAACCGGCACAGCACUGCGCUUUGCCACAGUCACAUUUGUCUUCAAAGCGGUGUUUACCAUUUGUGUUGAUCUGUUUGUGUAUGCAUAGAGCAAGUUUUUAAUUUAUAUUUUUCUGCAUUCUUGUGCUUGCACUAAGCUUGUAUAAGGCAGUUACAAAAUGUGCGUCACUAUAACGAACUGUUCUGUUGAGCUUACACUUGCAAAUAAUCGUGUUCAGAUGGCCGCACUUCUAUGCGGGUGCACCGCUAGCUUUGUGUAUGUUCUCAUGUUUGUAUAAAGCUUAUAUAAGCUAGUUAGAAAAUGUAUGUCACUAAGCAUUGUGAUAUUCUUUAAAGAACUGCUUGGUUGGUUUUACACUUGUGAAUUAGUAUUGAGGCGGUGGUAUUCCCAUGUAUGCCCACUGCUAGCUUUCUGUGUCCUCACGUGUUUGUAUUAAGUUUCUACAAGGGAGUUACAGCAUGUACGUCACUAAGCGCUGUGAUAUUUUUUAAAGAACUGCGUUGUUGGUUUUACACCUGUGAGUUAUAGUACUCGGGUGGCACUAGUCAUGUGUAGGCACACAGGGACCAUUUGUAUAUAUUAUGCUCAUGUAAAGCAGGUACAAAGUGUAUGUCACUGAUUACUGUGAUAUUUGUUGAAUUGCUGUGAUGGUUUUUCACAUGUGAAUAAUAGUGGUCAAUACACAGUACUUGCGGUGUAUAGUUGAAUUUAUACACUGCCAAGACAUGGGCUGUAUACGUACCAAAAGAAAUGUAUGUCAUUAUAUUGUUGUGAUUAUUACUGUUUGGAUUUUAUUAAACUGUAAUAAAAUUGUUU
Long non-coding RNA from Dermacentor andersoni, 3499 nucleotides. RefSeq lists it as uncharacterized. Lineage: Eukaryota; Metazoa; Arthropoda; Arachnida; Ixodida; Ixodidae. The record is from RefSeq and is a predicted model, not a curated record.